GGGCGAGUUUGAUCAUGGCUCAGAGCGAACGCUGGCGGCAGGCCUAACACAUGCAAGUCGAGCGGGCACCGCAAGGUGUCAGCGGCAGACGGGAGAGUAACACGUGGGAACGUGCCCUUUGGUUCGGAACAACUCCGGGAAACUGGAGCUAAUACCGGAUAAGCCCUUACGGGGAAAGAUUUAUCGCCAAAGGAGCGGCCCGCGUCCGAUUAGCUAGUUGGUGAGGUAACGGCUCACCAAGGCGACGAUCGGUAGCUGGUCUAAGAGGAUGAUCAGCCUCACUGGGACUGAGACACGGCCCAGACUCCUACGGGAGGCAGCAGUGGGGAAUAUUGGACAAUGGGCGCAAGCCUGAUCCAGCCAUGCCGCGUGGGUGAUGAAGGCCCUAGGGUUGUAAAGCCCUUUCGGCGGGGAAGAUAAUGACGGUACCCGCAGAAGAAGCCCCGGCUAACUUCGUGCCAGCAGCCGCGGUAAUAAG
Molecule: ribosomal RNA, 478 nt
Filed under: uncultured bacterium
Lineage: Bacteria
Description: bacterial SSU rRNA
Rfam family: Bacterial small subunit ribosomal RNA
Source: RNAcentral